UGACUCUCACUAACCAUAAUUGUCGUUAUUUUUUAAUAACUCAGAUCAAAAUUCAAUAAAGACGUUCUAUAAUGUAGUUUUCAUCAACUGAAAAUUCUUAUCUUCAUGAGCUUCAAAAAUUCAAAAUAAAUCAUCACUGGUGUUAUAGGAUUGGCAAUGGGAAUCAUCCAUGUUCUUGUGAAGUACUCUGGGAGAUGGACAUAUGAACAAACAUUGUGAAGAAUGCAUCACUAACGCUAUGUUGUUGAGCACAAAUGUAUCAUACAAUCAACUAUACAAUCUUCUGACAUCUCAUAUUAAUGUGAAUUUGAAUAGCAAAAGUAUUUAAAUUGAAUAUCAAAUAACCAGUAGAGCAGGGCAAACACGUAUGCAUAAUGACAUGGGUUUAAAGGUGUAUUCAUAUCUUUGUUUGAAAAAUACACGUGUAGUUGCCUAUAUGUAUUAACAAAGGCAAUGACCAAUAUAAUUUUAUAUGUA
Molecule: long non-coding RNA, 477 nt
Organism: Capsicum annuum
Lineage: Eukaryota; Viridiplantae; Streptophyta; Magnoliopsida; Solanales; Solanaceae
Exons: 2
Source: RefSeq, a predicted model, not a curated record